ACGUCUGUGCAGGAUAUCAUACUAUACUGUAAAUCAAUGCUGAACCAUUACAGUAUAUAUGAUGUGCUGCGGAGGGCU
Petromyzon marinus (sea lamprey) is the source of this 78-nucleotide microRNA precursor. Ensembl annotates it as pma-mir-144. Its record names the gene pma-mir-144. The record is from Ensembl. NCBI's taxonomy places the organism in Eukaryota, Metazoa, Chordata, Hyperoartia, Petromyzontiformes, Petromyzontidae.